AAAACAAAAACAAAAAACAAACAAACAAAAAAAAAAACCAACAAAAAAAAAAUCUUAUUGCUAAAAGAUGCUAAGGAAGUGGGCACCUGAUGGCCUGAUGUUGGAAAAGUGGCAUGGACAGACUUGCUUGACUCACAGUUGUCACAGACCUUCCAUUUGUAAAAAAACACAGUAUCUCUGAAAUGCACUCCAGCUAGCUUGGCAUGCCUGGACUUUUCUCCUGUUAGUCUUUUGGAUGUCGAUUUAAUUCUUGGGUCCAGCCUAAGAGGAUGGAGGUGCAGUUUUGUCUUCCUUGUAAUAUGGAUAUCAAGUUUCCUUUAAAACAAGAUUAAAGGCGUUUUCUUUUAAAGGUAACAUGUUUUAAGAAAAAUAUUAAGUACUGAUAAAGUGUCUUGCAAUGUGACACCUGGAGCCUCUAGGUGAUAUGUGGAUAUAGCAAAGAUCUAGAAGAUGGCAAAAGUUAGGCAAACUUAUAUAAUUUACUUUGUUCUGACACCUCUUUCUGCUUUUGGAAACUGCGUGUCCCAGGGUCAACAUUGAAUCCCCCCUCUAUCUUAAACACAGGGGCAGGUGUUCCCCUCUCUCAACUUAACGGUGCCGUGUAUCUAUCCCUUUAGUUUCCUUUUUUUUUUCUUCUUUAGGCAGAUUCUCACUCUGACGCCCAGGCUGGAGUGCAAAGACAUGAUCUCAGCUCACUGCAAUCUCCGCCUUCCGGGUUCAAGCGCUUCUCCUGAGUAGUUGGGAUUGCAGGCACGUACCACCAUGCCCAGAAGACUUUGUGGUGUGAACCUAAAAUGGUUAUUCCUCCCCUGAGCUUGACUGCUGAAUUACCCAGAGGAGCCCAGUGUCCUCCCAUGAAUGAGUAUAUUAUGCCUUCCAUUAAAAGUUGUGGCCCUUAAUUAAAAACGUGAUCGUGAGUCUUUA
Molecule: long non-coding RNA, 924 nt
Organism: Cebus imitator (Panamanian white-faced capuchin)
Lineage: Eukaryota; Metazoa; Chordata; Mammalia; Primates; Cebidae
Exons: 2
Source: RefSeq, a predicted model, not a curated record